AAAACUCUACAUGUUUGUCUCUCCCACAUCCUUAUUUUUGCCCUUAAUAUUUUUCUUUGGUCCUCUUUCUUAGAACAAUAAUCUUUGCAUUCUAAUGAAAUUCAAGUGUGUAACUGGCAAGAAAUUUUAUUAUUUUGAAGUAAACGAAGUUAAACUUUAAUUUCUACCCAAAUUGUUUGUAAAACAUACUGUGACCAAUUUUUUUUCAAAAUUUUAAUAACAGCCUCAUUUUACUAAUGUUAUAUUCAUAGUUUCAGACGCCGACCUGUGACCCCUCAAGAGUUCAGACAAAUAUAGCGAUUUAUUUAAUUAUAAAAAAUAUAUCACACACAUUCUUUUCAUGUCAUAUUCAAUGUAUAUAUUCUCUACUGUCACAUAAUAUGAGUAUAUACAUCACAGCCAAUUUACCAGACACGAUAAUCCCAGCUGUUAUACUGAAUCGGAUCCUACUCGCUUUAUUCUAUUCUGAAUAUGCCUUUCAGCGUAUAUGUAUAUAUAUAAGCGUGUGAAUUUAUAUGCUGAAUUUGGUUCGAUCGUUUCCUGAUGAUUAGUUAUGGAGAGGAUGAAUCUUGAGGUUUCUUGGAGGAAGAAUCAUGAUCUGUUAUCAUCUUCUGGAUCAUCGCACUCGUCUCAGCUUCCGACAUCUUAUCUUCCGUUCUUUGAGAUUCCUUGUAGGCUUCGAAGAAAUCUUUGUUUUCUUUCACUAACUCAUUCCAAACUGCAAAUCAGUUUAUAGACAUGAUCAUCAAAGUUAAUCUUAACUUGUUUCCCUCUUAAGAGCAAGUUUGAUGAAAUGAAGUGGAUAACGUAGAACAAUAUUAAAGAAGAAAAAGAAAU
This 837-nucleotide long non-coding RNA is filed under the name Olea europaea subsp. europaea. Lineage: Eukaryota; Viridiplantae; Streptophyta; Magnoliopsida; Lamiales; Oleaceae. The record is from RNAcentral.